Pteronotus mesoamericanus is the source of this 122-nucleotide small nucleolar RNA. RefSeq annotates it as small nucleolar RNA SNORA28. The record is from RefSeq and is a predicted model, not a curated record. The transcript has a single exon. NCBI's taxonomy places the organism in Eukaryota, Metazoa, Chordata, Mammalia, Chiroptera, Mormoopidae.
AAGCAACACUUUGUGGCAGAUGAUCAAAAAUGACUAACACAAUUUGAGCUUACUAUACUAAUGAAGUCUAACCUACUGCAGUGUUCUCUCUUCUGUGAAACAAACCACUAUAUAGACUUAGU